RNAcentral lists this ribosomal RNA (457 nucleotides) under uncultured Armatimonadota bacterium. RNAcentral describes it as "bacterial SSU rRNA". It matches the Rfam family "Bacterial small subunit ribosomal RNA", at positions 930 to 1382 of the family's 1533-position model. The record is from RNAcentral. Lineage: Bacteria; Bacillati; Armatimonadota.
CGGUGGAGCAUGUGGCUUAAUUCGUCAUUAACCGAAGAACCUUACCAGGGUUUGACAUCCACUGUAAGUCCAUGAAAGUGGUACCCUCUGUAGCAAUACAGACUGUGAGACAGGUGUUGCAUGGCUGUCGUCAGCUCGUGUCGUGAGAUGUUGGGUUAAGUCCCGCAACGAGCGCAACCCUCAUCAGAUGUUGCCAGCGUAAAGUCGGGAACUCUUCUGAAACUGCCCGCGUAAGCGGGAGGAAGGUGAGGAUGACGUCAAGUCGGCAUGGCCCUUACGCCCUGGGCUGCACACAUGCUACAAUGGUCGUUAACAAAGGGAUGCAAAGUCGCGAGGCAGAGCUAAUCUCAAAAAUACGGCCUCAGUUCGGAUUGCAGUCUGCAACUCGACUGCAUGAAGUCGGAAUCGCUAGUAACCGCAGGUCAGCUAAACUGCGGUGAAUACGUUCCCGGGCCUU